UUCCUUUUCACUUUUAGCGUUUAGCGUCCUCCGUUCAAUGUUCAAGAGUCAUGACGUUCAUGUUCUAUCUUGAAAUUUAAUUAGUUUCGUGCAGAAGUUUCUCUCGCUUUUAUGAAAAUAAAAUAAAAGUUUCAUAAACAUUACUAUGGCUCGUCCACACUAUUGCAACAGGUUGCAUGUAACAUACGUGACCCUGGCUGAUUGACUUCAAAGACAAAGAAAACAAAGUCUUGAAUGAAAUAAUUUGGAAGUCUUCGCGCUUGUGAUAUCUGUCCAGUGAAACCUUUAAGUAUGGAAGGAAGGCUUCACUUCACUGCGCGACUGCUAGUGAUGUCGAGUUCUUGGGAGAUCUUGGGAGAAUUAAGACUUGGGAACCUUAAAGAAAAGAGCGUACUCAUUCCUUAAAGGCCAGCAACACACUUGCAUGGCCCUGGUGUUGCAGAUGUCCAUAUCCGGUAGUCACUCUUCAUCAGAUGAGCCUCCUGCUCUAUGCCACCUACAACAUAAAAAAAAAACCAACUUUCCCCGUGGCUUCACCCACAUAAAUGUUUAAUUUUAUAAUCACUCAAAUGGAAUGUUAUUUAUAAAGUAUAUUUCUUCUGUGAAAUAAUUAUUAAAAACAAAUUGUUCCUCUAUAAUGAUGAUGACGUCCUGAUCGAUCAAGGGACUAGUCGGCUACGCAGGACAUGUUACGGUGCACGAGUGUGUGAUAGCUGCACCCUAUACCCUCGCUCAUAAGGAGACGGGACGACAACACCGACACGCCAGAAAGAGUUCAGGCGUAGGACCAACGGCUUUAUAUUCUAUUCUAGAUCACAAAUUUCAAGACUUACCUGUCACUGAGUUAAUUGUUUGACAGAAACAGCCAAAUCCGUUUAUCAGAUCUGGUUCUUCAACCAAUCUCGGGAUAUGUGACUUAUAAUAUCUAGCCACAGAACGAGGCAGUCAACUGUAAAUAUUAGUCAUUAGUAAUGAUAUUGCUUUGUUUUGAUAAAAUAAGUUAGUAUAAUUAUAUUUAGUGGACUUUCUGAUUUGAGUUUUGUUCUUUGUUUUGUGUUAGUUGAGUGGUUUGUUGAGCAAACGUUGCAGAAAAUCUCUUGUAUCCUGCUCUUGUUCUUGUAUGUGACAAAACUUCAUGAUUGGUUGAACAGUUAUGAUGUGGAAGCGUUACAAGUAAACCAAGUCACUUAAUUGGUCAG
This is a long non-coding RNA of Vanessa atalanta (red admiral), 1199 nucleotides long. RefSeq lists it as uncharacterized. Lineage: Eukaryota; Metazoa; Arthropoda; Insecta; Lepidoptera; Nymphalidae. The transcript has 4 exons. The record is from RefSeq and is a predicted model, not a curated record.